This 599-nucleotide long non-coding RNA is filed under the name Cyanistes caeruleus (blue tit). RNAcentral describes it as "lncRNA (ENSCCEG00000021805.1)". Lineage: Eukaryota; Metazoa; Chordata; Aves; Passeriformes; Paridae. The record is from RNAcentral.
CGCCUUUCCCUCCCCGUUAGCGCCCCCUGCAGGUCCGGGGGAGGCGCUGCGCCGCCGGCUGCCGGCCCCUCACGGGAGGGAAAAGAACCCGUCCUGUUCGCUUGAGAGGGAUCUGGAAAUGAACGAAGAAGCUGUGGGGGUUUCCCAACCCCACCCCCCCUCCAUAAAUAUGUACCCAAAAGUUAAGUUUCUAAACUUGAGACGCUGCGCGGUUCAAGCUGGUAGAGGCUUGGCUGAGAGUGAAAAGUGACCUGACCUCACUACAGCACAGGCAGUGAGGGAAUGUAAAGAAGAGUGUGAAAGAGCAUGGGAGUUACAGAGAAAAUCAGAGUAGGAAGAGGACAGUGGAGGAAGUUGCAUGAGGAGAAGUUGGGCAAAAGGAGUGAAGCAGUUUUUGUCCAAAAAAAGGCAAUGGGAGAGCAAGGAAUGAGUGCCUCAGCUGAAGUGGUGUUGCUGUGGUGACAUUUGACAUAAGUAAUUUCAAAUGGAUUCAAGAGGGAAAUAUCAAUUUUUCAAUAUUAAUCCUAAAUACCUCAGACACUGGCUAUUUCCUUAAAAAACUGAAGAUUUUGCACAACACUUUACAGCCAAAAUCUUUU